This 223-nucleotide unclassified non-coding RNA is filed under the name Hevea brasiliensis (rubber tree). The record is from RNAcentral. Lineage: Eukaryota; Viridiplantae; Streptophyta; Magnoliopsida; Malpighiales; Euphorbiaceae.
UUAAUUUUGAACACUGCCCUUGCAUAUCAAGUUCUUUCCAUGCAUGGAGGAGUUCAGAAAUUGAUUCCUCAUCGCAAUGGCUCAAAGCAAAACCUAGUAGGUGCUUUCGAGAAUUAAUAUCCAUAUUCUCAAGGGAAGGACCUCUUGCUAGUGCAGCACACAAAUCCCAAACGGAACCAUGCCCUUUCUUUGUUAAACUAAGGCAGAGAUCAAAUGCCAAUUG